This 493-nucleotide long non-coding RNA is filed under the name Homo sapiens (human). RNAcentral's name for it is "HSALNT0000344". Lineage: Eukaryota; Metazoa; Chordata; Mammalia; Primates; Hominidae. The record is from RNAcentral.
ACAGCUCCUACCUCCGGGACUGGGUAGGGUGGGGGACUGGCUGCUGCUGAAGAACCUAGAGGGCCCCCAUUCCCGGAUGGUGAGGCCCCAGGCGGUGUUCAGAAAGGCCUGGCUGGGUGCUGCCUGAUCCUGGGUGCCUGCCCCCAGCCCGUUCUUGCCCAGGGUUGGCCCGUCAGUUUGGGGAGGAGCCACUGAAAACUGGAAGCAAACAGGGGAGUCCGCAGCCCAGGGCUCACGCCAACCAGGAAGGUGCAGGCCACGCUCCUGCCUCUGCCUCCUCAGGGCCCCCACACUGCUGUCCCCGCUGACCCAGCUCCAGGAGGGCCCGGCACAACCUUGGUUCCCCCUGUACAGAUGCACAGCUGCCCGACUCUCUGGAAGGGAGCACUCUUGAGUGCUGUGGCCAAGCAGGGCAGGGGCUGCAGAAGGGAGACCCCCCGUUCCAGAUCCAGGCCCCAGGGGGCAGGCCGUGCCCACAGAAGGGGUGCUGAGG